Pelobates cultripes (western spadefoot toad) is the source of this 301-nucleotide non-coding RNA. The record is from the annotation of a GenBank genome assembly. Lineage: Eukaryota; Metazoa; Chordata; Amphibia; Anura; Pelobatidae.
CAGAACAAACAUGUUAUCAAACUCCGCCUCAGUCUAUUAAGAAAAAAUACCAUAUGGCGUCACAGGAACAUCAAACCUGUAUGCACAUAUAAUAAGACUCUACUAGCAGCGAAGAUGUGUAGAUUAAUUAAGGUUUCUAAUCAUUGUUGGGUAUUGAGAUUUCUGUGCAAAACAAUAAAAUCAGUUCUAGACCUGGGGCACAAUAUUCUUACAGUGAUCUCCACACUAGCCUUACAUGGAGUGAAGACUACGUAGUAAUCUUGGGUCAACUAAAAGUUCUAAAAGUGGAACAAUCACCAUG